Long non-coding RNA from Felis catus (domestic cat), 3906 nucleotides. RefSeq lists it as uncharacterized. The transcript is spliced from 3 exons. NCBI's taxonomy places the organism in Eukaryota, Metazoa, Chordata, Mammalia, Carnivora, Felidae. The record is from RefSeq and is a predicted model, not a curated record.
UGAGACAGAAUGGCAGAGUGGCUGGGAUGGAGCUGGAUGGGAAGAGGGACCCUAUAAUGGCACCGGACACGCGGGAAAGGUCUGGGGGUGCAUUAGGCACCAUGUGAGUGUGCAGGGCGGGGGUAUGAGUGGAUGUGUGGCUGGUGUGUAUGAGUAUGCAUGUAAGUGUGUGUGUGUGUGUGUGUGUGUGUGUGUGUGUGUGUGUGUGUGUUUGUCUUCACAGUGUCAGGAUCAGGGUCAGACCUUGCCUGGUUUUCUGUAACAUCCAGAUGACGUGGGAGAGAUCAAUUUGGGAAGACUUUGGGGGCUCUUUCCUUGGAGGCUGAAGGUGGGGCUCUGUGUGUGUCACAAAAUGUCCCCAGCCAAGGAGUGGUGGCAUCUGUGGGGUUUCACGUUCCCCAGGGACAUGCAGUAGGUUCCUCUUCUGGAUCUGACCUCUGGAGGGCAGGAUGGGGGCCUUGGUGGCACUUUCUCAUCCUUUCCCUGUGCAGCACCUUGCUGGUAUCUUAGUCUCAGCUUUGGGCUUAUCCUGGAAGGGGGAGUGUGAAGUUCCUUUGGCACACAGGGCCCGUUCCCACCUUCCUGGAAAGGAAUUGGAUGAAUCUCGGUCCCCACAAGAGUCAUACAUGUUAUCUUGGCCCUGCCCAUCCGUUUGGGCAUGGGCCACUUCCUUGUUGAUUCCCUCCAGCAGGUCAGCCCUUGAGGACAGGGGAAUCCGUGUGCCCAACACCCAGGCCACCUCUGGCCCAUGGCGGGUGCUCACCCAUGGUGAGUGAAAGCAAAAAUAGGCUCUGCCUUGAGACAGGACCCUGUGAUUCAGAGGGCUCUUGUGUGAACAACCGACUCACAAAAUGUCCCCAAGGUCACUGCCACACGUCAGCCAGGAGACUCCAAUGUCCUUUGAAAAAUGCCAGACUCAAAUCUGAACACACGUGGCCAAGCCAGGGGGUUUGUGCAAUGCCGGAUGAUAUAAUCUGUGGGGUCCUUUGGGAAACCGGGGUGGGGAGGCCAGGCUGGCUCCCUCCAAGCUUGCUCUCAGUAUGUAGUCAGUUGGGCAAGUCUGAACAGGUGGGGGUCGUGGCCAUGCCCUGGAACCCAUUCCUCCUGAAGGAGACCCCGCAUCCAGGGGCUUGGCAUACCCGGGAGCUACCGGCCAGAGGGGUUCCUUGGGCUCAAAGUGAUGGCAGGAGGGUUCCUCUAAUAGGCCUGCCCACCCCCCUCCCCGUGGCAGGCUGCUCACGCUCCCUCCUUCAAUCCAGAACUGUGGGAGCCUGCUUCGUGUACGUUGGACACCCACCGGAGCGGUCGGGGCCCGGGUCCCCACUGCAGCUGUGCCUGGCCCCGGCAUCCAGCACCCCACCACAGGCCUGCCGGCUCCAGGGUCCCCACGCUGGCCGGGUUGGUCCAGAAGGCCCUGCUGUGACCCCUGAAGGAAUGACCGAGUGAAGCGGUGGGAGAGUCCACACAGCACAGAGGCCCAGAUGCUCCAGGACGGAGUGGCGUCCACGCAAGUGACCCAGCCCUCCCGCAGUCAGGUACAUUUAGUUUUCCAGCCUUGGUUCCCGAAGUCCCUGGCUGAGCCCAGAGAGAAGGAAGGCCGGCACUGGUGAGUCCUUUGGAGGCCUCUGGUCACCGCUGCUGAUGGAAACUUGGUCGGUGCCCUGGGAAGGUGGCAUCCCCCAGCUGGGUAGGGGAGUAGGAAGGCCAGCAGGCAGGAGCAGCGGGUGUUGUGCCUCUCCCAGGGUGUCCGUGAACCUUUCCUACGUGCUCUUGGGGGAGUUUUCUCCUGGCCGGGACUGCUGAGGCUUGGGUUAUGGGUUAUGGGCCCUUUGAGUUUGGGGCGGGGGGGGGGGCGCACAUUUGCUGCUGGAUGUCUCCCGUCCUGUCCAGGGUCUGGACCCAAGUGUGAGCGUGGUUAGGCAGGUCCCGGUUGGGUCCCUGGCCCAGGAAGGCGGCGUCCUGAACUGGGAAAGAAUGGUGCCCGCUGCCCUCACCAGUGCAGAAGAGGUAUCCAUAGGGCCACUCUCGGGACCUGAGCUAACAGGAACCUGGCUUGGGGUGCUGAGUCUGCAGAGGUGGCUGUGGGGUGCAGAGAGCGCGUAAGAGGUGCCAUUUUCCGGCAUUCUGCCAUCUCAUUGGAAGAGGGAAGCACCCAUCCCCCGCCCCCGGCUGUGUCGGGCGGCCACGGCUGUCUGUCUGCGGGUGCUGUUCCGAGGCUGCUGGCAGGUGCUGUUGGCCUCCUUGGGCCCCAGCAUCAGCCUCUCAGUGGCCCCGUGCUCCCACCUGGAGCUGCCCACCCUGCCCCGGGGCCUGGGGACUCCUACUGCUCAGGUCCCUGCUUAGGGGUCCCGUGGGAAAGUGUGCAGGCCCUGCACCCCCCUCCUGCCACCUUGUCUCAUGUAGGGGCAAAACCCGGGCCGGGAGCCAGCCACAGAGUCUUGGGCUGGGCCCUGCAGGCCUCUACCACUCUGGGGUUCUAGCUGGGUCGGAGGCAAGGCCACGUGUGGCAGUGGGGCCUCAGCGCGUGAGGAGAGCAGCCCAAGGGACCGGCAACUGCUGUGUGGCUCUGUACCCCUGCCUUAUCUCUGGGGGCCCAGCUCCGCAUCUCCCAGUGGAGCCUCACACACCCCUCUCAGGCUGGCUCCCACUCGUCUCGGAGUCCAAAGCGCUACUGUGAUUUCAGAGCAUCUGCUCCAACCACAGGCUCCCACCUCAGUGCCUUUGCACAUCUGUUCCCAGUCCCAGAACAGGAAGUCUGCUCCAGGCCUCCUUGGCCUGCACGCUUGCUUCUCUGCUCAAGUGCCCAUAUCGGGGCGCUCUCUCCCCUCCUGCCGGGGUGGUCCCUGCCUCUCCCCCCUGACAUCCAGUACUGCCUGGGAAGUACUAGGUGCUCGGUGAAUACCCAGAUGAGUACAUUUGAAUGGAAACACAGCUUGAAAGCUGGUGCUGUGGUAGAAAGUCACACCUAGAAUUUAGAAGUGUGAUGUUUGCAAGAAUAGCACUGCGGGGGUGGGGGGGGUUGGCAGGAGGGAGCGCUGCAGGAAGGGGUGUUGGGGCCACAGUCCGCGGCUGCUUCACACACAAGACUGCAGGCUUCCUGGAGGCACAAGCCAAGACCCUCCUCAAAUGGCCUUGUGGCCAGCUGGGUGGAGCCUCCGUGACUGUGCCUGCCGAAGGCUGCACGGCAGCAGACUCAGAAGAGAUGGUGCGUGGGAAUCAGUCGCAGGAUUUGUCACAGAGCACCGAGAAGACCCCUUACCUAGAUGAUGGCUGUCCCAGGACAAGUUAAGGAUCUUCAGAGUGAAAACUUUCUUUUGUCUUUUAAUUUCUCCAAGUUAAGGACAUAGGGCAGUGGCCGAUGGAGAAGCUGGGAUCCGAGAGGCCCACGGGGGCUGGGGACCUGGAGGCUGAUAUUUGUUGACCGUUGAUGGAGACACAGAGGGCAGGGGCCUCCCUUACAGCAAUGCCUGGGGAGCUCCCCACCCGAGCGUACCUGGAAAGACACUACUGCCUAUUUGGCUUUAAAAGCCCAGCGACAAGUCCUUGAAACAGGCAGAGUGGCAUUCCUAUAGGAGCUGGCUGCCUCCAUGAUGACACUUUGCUCAGGGCAAAAGACAAUCUUAUCCCGACCCCCCAGGGUCCUGUAAGUCUACUUUAACAUAUAAAAACUCCUUUGGAAACUUCCUCUAUCUCUACCCCCCAAGAUAUAUGCUGGCGAUCAUCCUCCCCGCUUAUGGCCCCUCAUAUACAUCUGAAGGACACUUACUCUGUCCCUAACCCCGGCCCUACCUGAGGGUAUAUAAUCAGUCACCUGUCACAACCCCAGUGCAGCUCUUCCUGCCUACGGGUCCCGUCCCCGUGCUUUAUUUAUUUUUUUUUAAUUUUUUUAAAGUUUUUAUUUAUUUU